This 468-nucleotide ribosomal RNA is filed under the name uncultured bacterium. Its description in RNAcentral is "partial 16S ribosomal RNA". It matches the Rfam family "Bacterial small subunit ribosomal RNA", at positions 28 to 507 of the family's 1533-position model. The record is from RNAcentral.
GACGAACGCUGGCGGCGUGCUUAACACAUGCAAGUCGAACGGAAAGGCCCUGCUUUUGUGGUGUGCUCGAGUGGCGAACGGGUGAGUAACACGUGAGUAACCUGCCCUUGACUUUGGGAUAACUUCAGGAAACUGGGGCUAAUACCGGAUAGGAGCUCCUGCUCCAUGGUGGGGGUUGGAAAGUUUCGGCGGGUGGGGAUGGACUCGCGGCUUAUCAGCUUGUUGGUGGGGUAGUGGCUUACCAAGGCUUUGACGGGUAGCCGGCCUGAGAGGGUGACCGGCCACAUUGGGACUGAGAGACGGCCCAGACUCCUACGGGAGGCAGCAGUGGGGAAUAUUGCACAAUGGGCGGAAGCCUGAUGCAGCAACGCCGCGUGCGGGAUGACGGCCUUCGGGUUGUAAACCGCUUUCGCCUGUGACGAAGCGGGAGUGACGGUAAUGGGUAAAGAAGCACCGGCUAACUACGUG